AAAAGAAGACUUUCUGGAAAUCUAAAUUGUUCUUGAGAUUGAAGAAAAACCAAGGUAAAAGAUGAAAAGUCUACAUUUAACAUAAGACACAACUACUUUUUUCAUAAGAAAUGGCUACCAUUAACAUAAGAGAAAUCAAAGAAAAGUAGACUUUCUGGAAAUCUAAAUUGUUCUUGAGAUUGAAGCAACCCAAGGUAAAAGAGGCAAAGUCUACAUUUAACAUAAGACACCUCUACUAUUUUCAUAAGAAAUGUCUACCAUUAACAUAAGAGAAAUCAAAGAAAAGUAGACUUUCUGAAAAUCUAAAUUGUUCUUGAGAUUGAAGCAACCCAAGGUAAAAAACGCAAAGUCUACAUUUAACAUAAGACACAACUACAUUUUUCAUAAGAAAUGGCUACCAUUAACAUAAGAGAAAUCAAGGAAAAGUAGACUUUCUGGAAAUCUAAAUUGUUCUUGAGAUUCAAUCAAUGAAUAUUCACAAAAUGAAAAUUGACCGUCUGAUGUGAUCAUUAUAGUGAAACAUGGCUAUGGUAUAAAAUUCAACUGGAUUCAACAAUGUUCGGUGCUCGAUCAAAGCGGUCAACCUUAAUUCAUCUUCACUUAUCACACGAAAACUAUCUUACCUACCUCUUUGUGAUCUAGUUUGGUGGAUUCUUCAACACAAUAAAGUGCCACAUAGAUGAGACAUAACUACCCAUGUAAAACUUUGGGGACGUUUACCACCGGAGGAUAGGGCUCUCCUUAUUGAAGCAUAAGCGUAAAUAGGGUUGACAGCUUCGAUCGGGGCCCAAACAUUGGCGAAUUAAAGUGAUUUUCCUACCGUAGCCGUAUUUUACUAUACCGAUCACAUCCUAUUUCAUGAGAUUUUUGAAAAUUUUGCUUCCUCUAUAUAGUUGGCUCACAAAGUUGUACACUAGCAUAUAACCUACCAAACAAGUUAUACCACAUUAGUAGGCACGUUNNN
Molecule: long non-coding RNA, 964 nt
Filed under: Fragaria vesca (wild strawberry)
Lineage: Eukaryota; Viridiplantae; Streptophyta; Magnoliopsida; Rosales; Rosaceae
Description: long non-coding RNA (FVES_LNC000959)
Source: RNAcentral